GGCUCUGUGGCGCAAUGGAUAGCGCAUUGGACUUCUAGGUGUAUGAGGACAUGCAAAGGUUGUGGGUUCGAAUCCCACCAGAGUUG
Non-coding RNA from Xenopus laevis (African clawed frog), 86 nucleotides. Lineage: Eukaryota; Metazoa; Chordata; Amphibia; Anura; Pipidae. The record is from Rfam.